This 594-nucleotide ribosomal RNA is filed under the name uncultured bacterium. Its description in RNAcentral is "bacterial SSU rRNA". It matches the Rfam family "Bacterial small subunit ribosomal RNA", at positions 257 to 842 of the family's 1533-position model. The record is from RNAcentral.
GUAAAGGCUUACCAAGGCAAUGAUGCGUAGCCGAACUGAGAGGUUGAUCGGCCACAUUGGGACUGAGACACGGCCCAAACUCCUACGGGAGGCAGCAGUAGGGAAUCUUCCACAAUGGGCGAAAGCCUGAUGGAGCAACGCCGCGUGGGUGAAGAAGGUCUUCGGAUCGUAAAACCCUGUUGUUAGAGAAGAAAGUGCGUGAGAGUAACUGUUCACGUUUCGACGGUAUCUAACCAGAAAGCCACGGCUAACUACGUGCCAGCAGCCGCGGUAAUACGUAGGUGGCAAGCGUUAUCCGGAUUUAUUGGGCGUAAAGGGAACGCAGGCGGUCUUUUAAGUCUGAUGUGAAAGCCUUCGGCUUAACCGGAGUAGUGCAUUGGAAACUGGGAGACUUGAGUGCAGAAGAGGAGAGUGGAACUCCAUGUGUAGCGGUGAAAUGCGUAGAUAUAUGGAAGAACACCAGUGGCGAAAGCGGCUCUCUGGUCUGUAACUGACGCUGAGGUUCGAAAGCGUGGGUAGCAAACAGGAUUAGAUACCCUGGUAGUCCACGCCGUAAACGAUGAAUGCUAAGUGUUGGAGGGUUUCCGCCCUUCA